AGAGAUUUUGCAGUUGCAUCUUCCAACUUGCAUAUCAGACAACAAGUGAUGUUCCUGACAGCAAGUAGAAAACCAAGCUAUUAAAAAUUUCCUGUGUUUCCUCCAUGGCUCUGUCCCAACAAUUGUUGCAGCAGGAGAAUGAGAGUGGCUUUGCUUCAUGGCUGACCAUGGACAACACUGGUAUUGUCAGAGAUGGCAGAGUAGAAGGACAAGCACUCAUCUUCUCCGAGAACUUCAAAAUUGCAACUCACUGCUAAACAACCAUCACAAGGAGAAGGUUGAAUCCCACCAAAAAAAGAUACCCCGCAUCCAAGGUCAAAGGAGAAGCCCAGAAAAGACUGUAAGAGGUGCGAAAUCACAUUUAGAAUCAAACCUCAUAUCCGCCGGAGAUGCUCGGAGGGCUCAAACAAAACCUUCUGCACACCAGGACCCAGAGACCCCGUAGAGACUGAGCCAGACCUACCUCUGAAUAAGUGUCUCCUGUAGAGGCAUGGGUCAACAGUGGCCUGCCAUGGGGACGGGAUGAGGGCUCUGGAUGCAGCAGACCUGGGAAGCAUGCUGUGUGGCCUAAGUCCUCUUGGAGGAGAUCGCCAUUAGGCCCACCAUUGAGCCACUGAGCAGACAACCCACAAACUGGAGAACUAUUAUACCAAAGAAGUUCUUGCACUGUUAUAGAAGUUCUAGGACCCAAUCUGGGAUCCAGCAAAAGGACUGAGAACCCCCAGGGAAUUUGACUUUGGAGGCCAGUGGGAUUUGAUUACAAAACUUCCACAAGACUGGGGAAACAGGCUCUUGGAGGGCACAAAAAAACCCU
This is a long non-coding RNA of Bubalus bubalis (water buffalo), 814 nucleotides long. RefSeq lists it as uncharacterized. Lineage: Eukaryota; Metazoa; Chordata; Mammalia; Artiodactyla; Bovidae. The record is from RefSeq and is a predicted model, not a curated record. The transcript is spliced from 3 exons.